This 76-nucleotide transfer RNA is filed under the name Thermotoga sp. RNAcentral's name for it is "tRNA-Arg". It matches the Rfam family "tRNA". Rfam says of the family: Transfer RNA (tRNA) molecules are approximately 80 nucleotides in length. Their secondary structure includes four short double-helical elements and three loops (D, anti-codon, and T loops). Further hydrogen bonds mediate the characteristic L-shaped molecular structure. tRNAs have two regions of fundamental functional importance: the anti-codon, which is responsible for specific mRNA codon recognition, and the 3' end, to which the tRNAs corresponding amino acid is attached (by aminoacyl-tRNA synthetases). tRNAs cope with the degeneracy of the genetic code in two manners: having more than one tRNA (with a specific anti-codon) for a particular amino acid; and 'wobble' base-pairing, i.e. permitting non-standard base-pairing at the 3rd anti-codon position. The record is from RNAcentral. Lineage: Bacteria; Thermotogati; Thermotogota; Thermotogae; Thermotogales; Thermotogaceae.
GUGCCCGUGGCUUAACGGAUAAAGCAACAGAUUGCGGAUCUGUAGAUUGGGGGUUCAAGUCCCCCCGGGCAUACCA